GGUCGGUUGGUGCAAUGGUAGCAUGUAGACCUCCUAUUACUGUGCAUUUGGAUACUCGCUAUGUGUAUCGGCAGUAGGUCUAGUCUAGGGUUGCGGGUUCGAGUCCCGUGCUGACCG
Molecule: non-coding RNA, 117 nt
Organism: Xylaria nigripes
Lineage: Eukaryota; Fungi; Ascomycota; Sordariomycetes; Xylariales; Xylariaceae
Source: the annotation of a GenBank genome assembly